GAUGAACGCUGGCGGCGUGCCUAAUACAUGCAAGUCGAACGAAGCCUUCGGGCUUAGUGGCGAACGGGUGAGUAACACGUUGGUACCUACCCUCUAGUGGGGAAUAACUGGCCGAAAGGUCGGCUCAUACCGCAUAAUACCGCAAGGUUAAAGCAGCAAUGCGCUAGAGGAGGGGCCUGCGUCCCAUUAGCUUGUUGGUAGUGUAAUGGACUAACAAGGCGACGAUGGGUAGCUGGAUCGAGAGGUUGACCAGCCACACUGGGACUGAGAUACGGCCCAGACUCCUACGGGAGGCAGCAGUAAGGAAUCUUCCACAAUGGACGAAAGUCUGAUGGAGCAACGCCGCGUGCAGGAUGACGGCCUUCGGGUUGUAAACUGCUUUUAUAUGGGAAGAUUAUGACGGUACCAUAUGAAUAAGGACCGGCUAACUACGUGCCAGCCGCCGCAGUAA
RNAcentral lists this ribosomal RNA (451 nucleotides) under uncultured bacterium. RNAcentral's name for it is "partial 16S ribosomal RNA". It matches the Rfam family "Bacterial small subunit ribosomal RNA", at positions 28 to 523 of the family's 1533-position model. The record is from RNAcentral.